This is a non-coding RNA of Heterocephalus glaber (naked mole-rat), 274 nucleotides long. The record is from RefSeq and is a predicted model, not a curated record. NCBI's taxonomy places the organism in Eukaryota, Metazoa, Chordata, Mammalia, Rodentia, Bathyergidae.
UGGAAGACUGAGCUUUGAAAGUGAGUGAUUUCUUCAACUUGAAUCUUACUAAUUGGAAUUCUCCUUUUCAAAUUAAAGUUCUGGGAGUCAAACCCAGGGCCUCAUGCAUACUAGUGAUUUCCCGGGGAGCACAGCACCGAGGGAAUCACUGCCGCGGAAAGCGAACGCAAAGGACAGAGUUGUGGUUUCAGCCACAGUCUCGGUUUCACUGGAGCUGGGUCAAGCAGCGAGAUUGUGACCAUGGCCUGCGCCAGUAGCCCCAACGCUAGUACAC